GGGCCUAUAGCUCAGUCUGGCAGAGCACUUGACUCUUAAUCAAGGGGUCGCGGGUUCGAAUCCCGUUAGGCCCGCCA
This 77-nucleotide transfer RNA is filed under the name Nanobdellota archaeon. RNAcentral describes it as "tRNA-Lys". It matches the Rfam family "tRNA". From Rfam's summary of the family: Transfer RNA (tRNA) molecules are approximately 80 nucleotides in length. Their secondary structure includes four short double-helical elements and three loops (D, anti-codon, and T loops). Further hydrogen bonds mediate the characteristic L-shaped molecular structure. tRNAs have two regions of fundamental functional importance: the anti-codon, which is responsible for specific mRNA codon recognition, and the 3' end, to which the tRNAs corresponding amino acid is attached (by aminoacyl-tRNA synthetases). tRNAs cope with the degeneracy of the genetic code in two manners: having more than one tRNA (with a specific anti-codon) for a particular amino acid; and 'wobble' base-pairing, i.e. permitting non-standard base-pairing at the 3rd anti-codon position. The record is from RNAcentral. Lineage: Archaea; Nanobdellati; Nanobdellota.